Molecule: non-coding RNA, 69 nt
Organism: Myotis lucifugus (little brown bat)
Lineage: Eukaryota; Metazoa; Chordata; Mammalia; Chiroptera; Vespertilionidae
Source: Rfam
AGCCUUGAGCAAUGGCAAUAUCAUAGCCAAUGAGGUUUAUCUGAGGUGUGAUUAUUGCUCAUUGAGAAU